GCUCCUCUAAAACUAUCAAGAACUCAUCUGACUCUUUUGACUUAGCAACUGAACCAAUGGAAUCCGAGUUGUUCCUUUCUCCUCCCUUUUUUCUAAAAGGACACUCUCGCUUAAAAUGCCCUGCUACACCACACCUGUAGCACUUCCUAGCCUCCUUGCUGUUCUUCUACGACUGUCUCUACCCCACCUACUCAUCCUUCUUCUUUUCUCUCUUGGGCCUCU
RNAcentral lists this long non-coding RNA (222 nucleotides) under Elaeis guineensis (African oil palm). RNAcentral's name for it is "long non-coding RNA (EGUI_LNC012467)". Lineage: Eukaryota; Viridiplantae; Streptophyta; Magnoliopsida; Arecales; Arecaceae. The record is from RNAcentral.